UACAGAGGGGGCAAGCGUUGUUCGGAAUUACUGGGCGUAAAGGGCGCGUAGGCGGCCUGUUAAGUCGAACGUGAAAUCCCCGGGCUACACCGGGAACUGCGUCCGUAUACUGGCAGGCUUGAGUGUGGCAGAGGGGGGUGGAAUUCCACGUGUAGCAGUGAAAUGCGUAGAGAUGUGGAGGAACACCGAUGGCGAAGGCAGCCCCCUGGGCUAACACUGACGCUCAGGCACGAAAGCGUGGGGAGCAAACAGG
RNAcentral lists this ribosomal RNA (253 nucleotides) under uncultured bacterium. Its description in RNAcentral is "partial 16S ribosomal RNA". It matches the Rfam family "Bacterial small subunit ribosomal RNA", at positions 524 to 776 of the family's 1533-position model. The record is from RNAcentral.